RNAcentral lists this long non-coding RNA (1116 nucleotides) under Mus spicilegus (steppe mouse). RNAcentral's name for it is "lncRNA (ENSMSIG00000002979.1)". The record is from RNAcentral. Lineage: Eukaryota; Metazoa; Chordata; Mammalia; Rodentia; Muridae.
GCUAAUUACAAGGGCUCCUUUUUCUUUUCUUUUCUUUUUCCUUUUUUCUUACUUACACCCCUGUCUUGCUGGUAGUCUUACGUGGUAAAAAGUCUAUAUUUUAAAGUUACUUUCCAAAGAUACCUUGAUUAUUUUUCUUAUCUGAAAUUGUUGUUUCCAGUGAGUUAAAAUGAUUUUAGUAAAGUUUUUACCCCAGUCCAAAAAUCCGCAGUGACUCCAUGCAAGUAACUUAUUUUGGUAAUUUAAAGGUGAUUGUGAAUGACUUCGCGUGCCGUAUCUAAGAUUUUCGAUGUUAUCUUGAAGAUGAGAAAUUUACUCAAAGUUUAAAGUUCAGAGUGAAAUUAAUAGCUUCCUGUUUUAAGAAACUGAUAACAGAUGGUGACUAAUCAGACGCGGAGGUAAGGCACGGAAGAGGCUCAGCCCCCUUCUUAUUUCUGGCUUCUGAAUUCUCACAUGGAAUCCAGGUAUAACUGACUAGUAAUGACAUAAGCCUUCCCUUCAUUGUGAACAUCCAUGGCGGAUCUACGUUUGCAACUGGUGAGACUUCGCUAGCUUGUGUGGAAGAUAGCUCGGUUGCUCUGUGCUGCUAAAAUGGAAACGUCCUUUCAUUCCAUUCAUAUUCAGGUCUCCUCACGAAGGACACAACGCGGGAGUGCCAGUAAGGAAAGAGGAAAAUCAGGGCAUGGAAAAUCUGGACAGAAUAUCUACACCUGGUUCUCGGCAAGUUUUGGAUCCGUUUUGUCGCUGUUGCUGUUGUUAAUUGUUGUGGGGAAAGUUUGUUUUCUUUUAAACUUUUAACUCCUUUUAGACAUGAGUAUAUCUUAUUUACAUCAUUUCCACCCCUCCCCCAACUCCUGUUAAAGCACCCCUCUCAAAUUCUUGACCAUCAAUUCUAUAACUAUUAUUUUUACAGAACCUACUGAGUCCAGUUAGAGUUGCUUUCAGGUGUAUGCUUGCUUAGGGCUGUGCACUUAAGAUUAGGAAACCUACCUAAGGGCUGACUGGCUUGUCCUUGAAGAAAAGUUGAGUCUUACUCCCUUAGCAUCGAAUGACCAGUGGGACCCACUUAAGCUUCCCAUAUUUGAUUUGACCCUGCCCACGGGUGUGGUCUUUUCC